RNAcentral lists this ribosomal RNA (329 nucleotides) under uncultured eukaryote. RNAcentral describes it as "partial 18S ribosomal RNA". It matches the Rfam family "Eukaryotic small subunit ribosomal RNA", at positions 1470 to 1796 of the family's 1831-position model. The record is from RNAcentral.
CCCUUAGAUGUUCUGGGCCGCACGCGCGCUACAAUGAUGAAUUCAACGAGUUUAUAACCUUGGUUGAAAAGCCUGGGUAAUCUUUUGAACUUUCGUCGUGAUGGGGCUAGACCCUUGCAAUUAUUGGUCUCCAACGAGGAAUUCCUAGUAAACGCAAGUCAUCAGCUUGCAUUGAUUACGUCCCUGCCCUUUGUACACACCGCCCGUCGCACCUACCGAUUGAAUGGUCCGGUGAAAUCUUCGGAUUGAGACUUUGAUUUGUUUACUCAAAACGCUGUUUCAAGAAGUUGAUUAAACCUUACCAUUUAGAGGAAGGUGAAGGCGUAACA